AUGUCGUCCAACUUUCUGCAUGGCGAGAUCCCCAUCCGAGCGGAUUGCCCACUCCCCGAGUUGAUGUCCCUCGUGUUGUGGUCCAACAAACUCAAUGGCAGCAUCCCUCCCUCGUUGUCAAACUCGACGAAGCUCCGAUGGCUGCUAUUGCAGUCGAACUUCCUCACUGGCGAGCUUCCGUCGGAUGACAUGUUCAGCGGUAUGAGGAGCCUUGAGUAUUUGCACCUAUCGUCCAACUUCCCCGCGAACUCGCGGAACAACACCGACCUUGAGCCGUUCUUCGCCUCACUUGCCAACUGCACCGACCUGAAGGAGCUCAGCAUCGCCGGGAAUGACAUCGCCGACAUGAUCCCGCAUGUCAUCGGUCGCCUUGCUCCCGGCCUCAUGCAACUCCACCUUCAGUUUAACAGACUCGUUGGCCCGAUCCCGGCGAACAUCUCCAACCUCACCAACCUCAACACCCUCAACCUCUCCCAUAACCUCCUCAACGGCUCCAUCCCACAGGGCAUCUCCAGCAUGCGGCAGCUUGAGCAGCUGCACCUCUCAAAUAACCUGCUCUCCGGUGAUAUCCCUCCAUCCCUAGGCAUGAUCCCGUGGCUCGGACUCGUCGAUUUUUCGCAGAACUGGCUCACCGGCACCAUUCCUCCGAGCAUCGUGCAGUGUGUGAUGAUGCAAAAUCUUGAUCUCUCCUACAACAUGCUGCGAGGCGAGAUCCCAACUGGCUUGACUAGGCUGAGUGGACUGCUCAACCUCAACCUCGCCGGCAACCUGCUGUCUGGCGCGAUCCCCGUGACCAUGGGCGAGAUGGUUAGGUUGCAAUUGCUUAAUCUGUCAGCAAACCAUCUCUCCGGUACAAUCCCGUCGCAGCUCGGCAGCUGCAUCGAUCUCAAGUACCUCGACGUGUCCUGUAAUGGCCUCACAGGGACCGUGCCUCAAUCCUUGGAGAAGGUGGCAUCGCUGCUACGUGUUAACUUUUCAUACAACGACUUCUCAGGCGAGGUGCCGAGCGGCGGGGCCUUUGCAGGGUUUCGGGCGGACGCGUUCCUCGGCAAUGACAGACUGUGUGCGGGGACGGCGUCGAUGACGCCUGGGUUGGCUAGGUGCAGCAGCGCAAAGCGCAACUUGCUCCAUAGCCGGCGACUGGUGUUGCUCGUCGUUGGCACAGUCGCGAGCUUCACGAUGGCCAUCAUUGGGCUCGCCGCGUGCCGCCGUGGGACGAGAUAG
This 1224-nucleotide ribosomal RNA is filed under the name Triticum aestivum (bread wheat). RNAcentral describes it as "partial small subunit ribosomal RNA". The record is from RNAcentral. Lineage: Eukaryota; Viridiplantae; Streptophyta; Magnoliopsida; Poales; Poaceae.